RNAcentral lists this transfer RNA (70 nucleotides) under Lygodactylus grotei. Its description in RNAcentral is "tRNA-Tyr". Lineage: Eukaryota; Metazoa; Chordata; Lepidosauria; Squamata; Gekkonidae. The record is from RNAcentral.
GGUAGUGUGGCCGAGUUUAGGCGGUGAGUUGUAGCCUCACAGACUGGGAUUGCGCCCACGCUACCAAGUC